GAUGAACGCUAGCUACGGGCUUAACACAUGCAAGUCGAGGGGAAACGACAUCGAAAGCUUGCUUUUGAUGGGCGUCGACCGGCGCACGGGUGAGUAACGCGUAUCCAACCUGCCCACCACUUGGGGAUAACCUUGCGAAAGUAAGACUAAUACCCAAUGACGUCUCUAGAAGACAUCUGAAAGAGAUUAAAGAUUUAUCGGUGAUGGAUGGGGAUGCGUCUGAUUAGCUUGUUGGCGGGGUAACGGCCCACCAAGGCGACGAUCAGUAGGGGUUCUGAGAGGAAGGUCCCCCACAUUGGAACUGAGACACGGUCCAAACUCCUACGGGAGGCAGCAGUGAGGAAUAUUGAGCAAUGGACGAGAGUCUGAACCAGCCAAGUAGCGUGCAGGAUGACGGCCCUAUGGGUUGUAAACUGCUUUUAUAAGGGAAUAAAGUGAGUCUCGUGAGACUUUUUGCAUGUACCUUAUGAAUAAGGACCGGCUAAUUCCGUG
Molecule: ribosomal RNA, 492 nt
Filed under: uncultured bacterium
Lineage: Bacteria
Description: partial 16S ribosomal RNA
Rfam family: Bacterial small subunit ribosomal RNA
Source: RNAcentral